Long non-coding RNA from Fukomys damarensis (Damara mole-rat), 507 nucleotides. RefSeq lists it as uncharacterized. NCBI's taxonomy places the organism in Eukaryota, Metazoa, Chordata, Mammalia, Rodentia, Bathyergidae. The transcript has 3 exons. The record is from RefSeq and is a predicted model, not a curated record.
UACACACGAUGAAAGUACCAGCAGUGCUUUCGGAGUAAACCAUCUUUUACUAAAAAUUUGAGAAAGAUUUGUGAAAUUAAUUCAUCUAUGCGGCGAAGUUCAGACCAAUCAAACUACUGUCUUCCUUUAUCUGAAGAGGGUCCGGCUGCCUGCAGGUUUGUUGCUGUGAUUGCGCCUGUCCGUUAGCCUUAGCACGGCCCUGAGAGCUGCAGGUACUGACAGUGAGGUGAGCUGACCACCAGACCAAGCUCGGACUAACUGUGAAGCUCCUGCAUCCUGCUUUUGCCCAGGACCUGGGAGCACUUUGAGCUGCUGAGAGUUUGAAGGUGUUUGGGAUGGUAAGGUUAAUAUUAACAGAAUCUUAACCCAUCCUUGACUGCAACAAGGAAAUGCAAAGUGUGUAACCGGUGAAACCCACUGCAGGCGUGUCUGGCUCCCGCCGUGAUGGUGCAGGGUGGGUGACCAGUAGUUUUCCUAUUGGUGGUCACGGGAUGAAGAACACGGGGG